CUCGAUAUAGCUCAGUUUGCGUAGAGCGCUGCGUUUGGGACGCAGAGGUCGUAGGUUCAAGUCCUGCUAUCGAGA
RNAcentral lists this transfer RNA (75 nucleotides) under Virgibacillus salexigens. Its description in RNAcentral is "tRNA-Pro". It matches the Rfam family "tRNA". From Rfam's summary of the family: Transfer RNA (tRNA) molecules are approximately 80 nucleotides in length. Their secondary structure includes four short double-helical elements and three loops (D, anti-codon, and T loops). Lineage: Bacteria; Bacillati; Bacillota; Bacilli; Caryophanales; Bacillaceae. The record is from RNAcentral.